Molecule: long non-coding RNA, 521 nt
Filed under: Helianthus annuus (common sunflower)
Lineage: Eukaryota; Viridiplantae; Streptophyta; Magnoliopsida; Asterales; Asteraceae
Source: RNAcentral
AUGCCAACUUCUGUUUCGUUUUUACCGUUAUAUUAAAUCCGUCUCCUUUUUAAUAACAUUUAGGGUUUUUAGUUUGUUUUGUUACCGUGUCUAAUGUGAAAUUGGGGACCAACAGAAUGUGGAGGAUUCAUCACACGAUGAGUUUACUGGCGAUGGUGUGGUUGAGGUUGUUGUUGCAUCUGUGAAAGAAACCACAUCACUAAUGUGAACCUGAUAUCAUCAUUUUGGCUGCGCCAGUUGGCAGUGCGAUGGAAAGGAAUUGUGAGGAGUUUAGGACUAUGGGAAUCAGUGAGGGAAUUUGCAAGAAUGUAUGAUGCUGGCAUGGGCAUUUUAAUUUUUACACCAAUUGCUAUGUUAUCGUGGUUCCCAUUUGUCUCCACAUUCCAGUCCCGUUUUCUGUUUAAUUAAGCAUUUAGCCGUGGACCGGUCUCGAGAUCUCUCUUAUCCUCGCUGGCAACAAGGCUAAUGUUCAUGCGUAAUUUUAUCUGGCACGUGUAUUGAUGUUUAACCCUCUGUGUUUA